AAAAGAUCGAUUUCCCGCCAUGCAUGGCAGACUUGUACAGAAACGAUAUGUUGUCGAAAUUCUGUUCGUAUCUUUUAGACAUCGUAUGGCCAUCGCGCCAUCAUCGUAAUCCAUCGUGUAGCCUUCGUAAUCCAUCGUGUAGCCUUCGUGAUCCAUCGUGUAGGCUUCGGCUGAGAUAUGAAGCUUAAAUACCCGUCUUCGGUUAACCUUCGUAUGUCCAUCUUUUGCUAUCGUAUAUAAUUUCGGCACCAUCGUAUAGACGUCGUUAUUCAUCGUACUUGCUUCGGUCACUUUUUGGUAUUUUAACGAGAUCGGGACCAACUUCGUACGAACUUACAAUUUUUGCAUUCGGG
Molecule: long non-coding RNA, 353 nt
Filed under: Mytilus galloprovincialis (Mediterranean mussel)
Lineage: Eukaryota; Metazoa; Mollusca; Bivalvia; Mytilida; Mytilidae
Source: RNAcentral